Molecule: ribosomal RNA, 484 nt
Filed under: uncultured bacterium
Lineage: Bacteria
Description: partial 16S ribosomal RNA
Rfam family: Bacterial small subunit ribosomal RNA
Source: RNAcentral
AUUGAACGCUGGCGGCAGGCCUAACACAUGCAAGUCGAGCGGAUGAAGGGAGCUUGCUCCUGGAUUCAGCGGCGGACGGGUGAGUAAUGCCUAGGAAUCUGCCUGGUAGUGGGGGAUAACGUCCGGAAACGGGCGCUAAUACCGCAUACGUCCUGAGGGAGAAAGUGGGGGAUCUUCGGACCUCACGCUAUCAGAUGAGCCUAGGUCGGAUUAGCUAGUUGGUGGGGUGAAGGCCUACCAAGGCGACGAUCCGUAACUGGUCUGAGAGGAUGAUCAGUCACACUGGAACUGAGACACGGUCCAGACUCCUACGGGAGGCAGCAGUGGGGAAUAUUGGACAAUGGGCGAAAGCCUGAUCCAGCCAUGCCGCGUGUGUGAAGAAGGUCUUCGGAUUGUAAAGCACUUUAAGUUGGGAGGAAGGGCAGUAAGUUAAUACCUUGAUGUUUUGACGUUACCAACAGAAUAAGCACCGGCUAACUUCGUG